AUGUGGCAGUUUUGCAUUCUGUGCCUCUGUGUACUCAUGGCUUCUGUGGCUACAGACCCCACAGUGACUUUGCUGGAGCAAAACCCAAGGUGGCGUCUGGUACCACGUGGUCAAGCUGUGAACCUACGCUGCAUCUUGAAGAAUUCCCAGUAUCCCUGGAUGAGCUGGUAUCAGCAGGAUCUCCAAAAGCAACUACAGUGGCUGUUCACUCUGCGGAGUCCUGGGGACAAAGAGGUCAAAUCUCUUCCCGGUGCUGAUUACCUGGCCACACGGGUCACUGAUACGGAGCUGAGGCUGCAAGUGGCCAACAUGAGCCAGGGCAGAACCUUGUACUGCACCUGCAGUGCAGA
This is a non-coding RNA of Mus musculus (house mouse), 350 nucleotides long. The record is from the annotation of a RefSeq genome assembly. Lineage: Eukaryota; Metazoa; Chordata; Mammalia; Rodentia; Muridae.